RNAcentral lists this ribosomal RNA (396 nucleotides) under uncultured bacterium. RNAcentral's name for it is "bacterial SSU rRNA". It matches the Rfam family "Bacterial small subunit ribosomal RNA", at positions 28 to 416 of the family's 1533-position model. The record is from RNAcentral.
GACGAACGCUGACGGUGUGCUUUAGACAUGCAAGUCGAACGAGAAAGCCCUUCGGGUUAGUAAAGUGGCGAACGGGUGAGUAACACGUGGGCAAUCUGCCCCUCGCAGGGGGACGAACCGGAGGAAACUCCGGCUAAUACCCCGUAACGUUCAAAGGGAGGCAUCUCUCUUCGAAGAAAGGUAGCUUCGGCCAUCCGGCGAGGGAUGAGCCCGCGGUGCAUUAGCUAGUUGGUGGGGUAACGGCCUACCAAGGCGACGAUGCAUAGCUGGUCUGAGAGGAUGAUCAGCCACACUGGGACUGAGACACGGCCCAGACUCCUACGGGAGGCAGCAGUCGGGAAUCUUGCGCAAUGGGCGAAAGCCUGACGCAGCAACACCGUGUGUGUGAGGAAGGCC